Long non-coding RNA from Nerophis ophidion (straightnose pipefish), 1991 nucleotides. RefSeq lists it as uncharacterized. Lineage: Eukaryota; Metazoa; Chordata; Actinopteri; Syngnathiformes; Syngnathidae. The transcript has 6 exons. The record is from RefSeq and is a predicted model, not a curated record.
GGUGACCUGGCGUGGCCGGAAGAGAGUAUGCACGAGGUUAUACUUUCUCGUUGCAAAGAUGUGGAAUGUGUUUAAGCAUUAGGAAUGAUGGAUGAUACUAUCAGUAUCCUCGCAUAGAAGUCAUGCAAACAGCCAUGAAACUACGAAAAAAUGGUGCCACCCUUUCAACUGUGCUAAACAUGACAGACACAGAGAUGGACCAGCUGGCCAACUUUCUUGGCCAUGAUUUUAGAAUCCAUCGUGAGUUCUAUAUAGACUCCCUGAAAAGACACUGCAGCUGGCAAAAAUGAACAAAGUUUUGAUGGCACUCGAGCAAGGUCGAUUAUCAGAGUUCCAUGGCAAGAACUUGAUGGAAUCACAAUUGCUCCAAUGAAAGUGUUGUGGAAACUGAAGAGGAAGAUCUUACCAGAGAGGACGAAAACUGUUCAUUUCUUGAUAACGAAGAGGGGGCCUUUCCAACCACUGAGGAGAAAGCAAUCCCAACCCCCAAGAGAUUGAAACGAAUUUCAAAAGAAGAUUAGGUAUUCUCAGGAGAUUGUGCAGUGAGACAUUCUUCCAAAGGUAAAGCUGCCUAGAAAAGAAGACCCUGGACACAGAAAGAGGUGAAGGCUGUCGAAGCACAUGAAGCGAUUCAUCCCUUCUGGUAUAGUAGCAGGAAAGAGUGACUGUUGAAAAUGUUUGAGGGCGAAACCGGAAGCUCUCCAAAACCGGGAAUGGCAGGCAUUGAAGUCUAUGUGUACAACCGCAUUACGGCCUACAAAAGGAGAUUGCAGGGUCUCCAGUAAGAAUGAUCAGCACAUUACUUCACCAAACUAGAGAUUUGAAGAUAUGUAUGAGCUAACCGGGCGGUGGCCAUUUUACCUCAUUUUUUAUGCCUCCACAACCUGUUGAAAGGGUGGUCCCCAUAAGUGAUGAUCAUUCAAAUGAUAACCUGUGUGUGUGUGUGUGUGUGUGUGUGCGUGCGUGCGCACGUGUGUGUGUGUGUGUGUGUGCAUGCGUGAUGUUGAAAUGUUUGUCUCAUGUAAUAAUACAAUACAGCUUGCAAGGAUGGAGGUCAUAGGUCAAGUGAACCUGCAGUCAUGUUAUGUUUGACAUUCUGACAUCACUUCAUGGCCUCAAUUAUCCUCUUCCAUGUGAUGUCAUCAGUCACAUGACUGUGAUUUGGGGCUGCAUGCAGGCAGACAAAGGGGAGGAGCUACGUGCUGCGCAGGCAGACGGAGUCAGAGAGGAUUUGACACAGAGGAAAGCAAAGCAGAUGUAUCAUGUACAGCCACACUUGGGGGUCCGCUUAGACAACGUGGCUGUCUUUACGGUCAUGUCUUUUAUUUUGUUCAUUAUUGUUGAAUUCAGUGUGUGUGUGUGGGUGUGUGUGUGUGUGUGUGACAGGCGCAUGGGACAAAUGGGAAAAUACGGAAGAAACCGCGCCCCGUAUUGGUUCAAUAUGGGAUGCAACAUUUUAGUUCCAAUUACAGGUUGAUUCCGUAUUUCACGGGGCGGGUGGUAACCCUAUUCACAUGCAUCUUUUCUGACGAUGCUAAUGCUGCAGUGUGCAUGCCAGGCCAGUAGGUGGUGAUGUCACUUUGUUUAUUAAAACAACGACUUCCACUUUGAAGUUGGCAAACAUUUACAGCUAUUUUGCUAACCGCAAACGGGAACACGUUUUGAUGUUAAAGACUUUUGUAUCAACAUGACAAACGUUUAAGUCAGGUUAACUUAAGUGUUGUGUACCACACUAAAAGAAUAUUUUAGUUUGCUCAAGGUCAACUCAAAGCUCCAAAGAUGUUACCGUGGCAACUAACACCCCAGCAACAGAGGCCACACUGGCCUGUCUGUGGAUCGUCGCCGUGGUUACGCCUGAGCAUUUGUUUGAAAGACAUUCAUCAUUCAUUCAAACUCUUUUUUUUUUCUCCCCCUUCUGACACUUUCUCCUGCUUGUGGACAUCAAGUUACGCCAAAACGUCUGCUUUUAUUUCACAUAAGCGGACUUUAAA